CCCUUAGAUGUUCUGGGCCGCACGCGUGCUACACUGACGAAUUCAACGAGUUACUUCCUUGACCGAUGGGUCUGGGUAAUCUUUUGAAAUUUCGUCGUGCUGGGGAUUGAUGCUUGUAAUUUUUCAUCAUGAACGAGGAAUUCCUUGUAAAUGUCAGUCAUCAUCUGGCGUUGAAUACGUCCCUGCCCUUUGUACACACCGCCCGUCGCUUCUACCGAUUGGAUGGUCCGGUGAGGCCUUUGGACCGAGACUGUGUUGGGGCAACCCGCGCUGUUUUGGAAAAUUGGUCAAACCUUAUCAUCUAGAGGAAGAAGAAGUCGUAACA
RNAcentral lists this ribosomal RNA (325 nucleotides) under uncultured eukaryote. Its description in RNAcentral is "partial 18S ribosomal RNA". It matches the Rfam family "Eukaryotic small subunit ribosomal RNA", at positions 1470 to 1796 of the family's 1831-position model. The record is from RNAcentral.